RNAcentral lists this ribosomal RNA (502 nucleotides) under uncultured Glomeromycotina. Its description in RNAcentral is "partial small subunit ribosomal RNA". It matches the Rfam family "Eukaryotic small subunit ribosomal RNA", at positions 591 to 1092 of the family's 1831-position model. The record is from RNAcentral. Lineage: Eukaryota; Fungi; Glomeromycota.
CCAAUAGCGUAUAUUAAAGUUGUUGCAGUUAAAAAGCUCGUAGUUGAAUUUCGGAAUCUGUCCGUUGGUCGGGCUUAACUGUCCGUACUGGUGUGAUGGGUUCUUACCUUCUGAAUAACCAGCAUGCCAUUAAUUUGGUGUGUUGGGGAAGCAGGACUAUUACCUUGAAAAAAUUAGAGUGCUCAAAGCAGGCUAGCGCCUGAAUACAUUAGCAUGGAAUAAUAAAAUAGGACGGCAUGGUUCUAUUUUGUUGGUUUCUAGGAUCACCGUAAUGAUUAAUAGGGAUAGGUGGGGGCAUUAGUAUUCAAUUGUCAGAGGUGAAAUUCUUGGAUUUAUUGAAGACUAACUUCUGCGAAAGCAUUUGCAAAGGAUGUGUUCAUUAAUCAAGAACGAAAGUUAGGGGAUCGAAGACGAUCAGAUAACGUCGUAGUCUUAACCAUAAACUAUGCCGACUAGGGAUCGGACGAUGUUAAUUUUAUAAUGACUCGUUCGGCGCCUUACG